RNAcentral lists this ribosomal RNA (468 nucleotides) under uncultured bacterium. RNAcentral's name for it is "partial 16S ribosomal RNA". It matches the Rfam family "Bacterial small subunit ribosomal RNA", at positions 28 to 507 of the family's 1533-position model. The record is from RNAcentral.
GACGAACGCUGGCGGCGUGCUUAACACAUGCAAGUCGAACGGAAAGGCGCUGCUCUUGUGGGGUGCUCGAGUGGCGAACGGGUGAGUAACAUGUGAGUAACCUGCCCUUGACUUUUGUAUAACUUCAGGAAAUUGGGGCUAAUCUCGGACAGGAGCUCCUGCUGCAUGGUGGGGGUUGGAAAGGUUCGGCGGUUGGGGCUGGACUCGCGGCUUAUCAGCUCGUUGGUGGGGUAGUGGGUUACCAAGGCUUUGACGGGUAGCCGGCCUGAGAGGGUGACCGGCCACAUUGGGACUGAGAUACGGCCCAGACGCCUACGAGAGGCAGCAGUGGGGAAUAUUGCACAAUGGGCGGAAGCCUGAUGCGGCAACGCCGCGUGCGGGAUGACGGCCUUCGGGUUGUAAACCGCUUUCGCCUGUGACGAAGCGGGAGUGACGGUAAUGGGUAAAGAAGCACCGGCUAACUACGUG